RNAcentral lists this ribosomal RNA (284 nucleotides) under uncultured Bifidobacteriales bacterium. Its description in RNAcentral is "partial 16S ribosomal RNA". It matches the Rfam family "Bacterial small subunit ribosomal RNA", at positions 527 to 810 of the family's 1533-position model. The record is from RNAcentral. Lineage: Bacteria; Bacillati; Actinomycetota; Actinomycetes; Bifidobacteriales.
GUAGGGCGCAAGCGUUAUCCGGAAUUAUUGGGCGUAAAGAGCUUGUAGGCGGUUCGUCGCGUCUGGUGUGAAAGCCCAUCGCUUAACGGUGGGUCUGCGCCGGGUACGGGCGGGCUAGAGUGCAGUAGGGGAGACUGGAAUUCCCGGUGUAACGGUGGAAUGUGUAGAUAUCGGGAAGAACACCAAUGGCGAAGGCAGGUCUCUGAGCUGUUACUGACGCUGAGAAGCGAAAGCGUGGGGAGCGAACAGGAUUAGAUACCCUGGUAGUCAAGGGCGAAUUCGUU